Pristionchus pacificus is the source of this 73-nucleotide non-coding RNA. The record is from Rfam. Lineage: Eukaryota; Metazoa; Nematoda; Chromadorea; Rhabditida; Neodiplogasteridae.
GGGGGUAUAGCUCAGUGGUUAGAGCACCCGCAUACGUAUCGGAAGGUCGGGGGUUCGACUCCCUCUGCCUCCA